GAUGAACGCUGGCGGCGUGCCUAAUACAUGCAAGUCGAGCGAACGGACGAGAAGCUUGCUUCUCUGAUGUUAGCGGCGGACGGGUGAGUAACACGUGGAUAACCUACCUAUAAGACUGGGAUAACUUCGGGAAACCGGAGCUAAUACCGAAUAAUAUUUUGAACCGCAUGGUUCAAAAGUGAAAGACGGUCUUGCUGUCACUUAUAGAUGGAUCCGCGCUGCAUUAGCUAGUUGGUAAGGUAACGGCUUACCAAGGCAACGAUGCAUAGCCGACCUGAGAGGGUGAUCGGCCACACUGGAACUGAGACACGGUCCAGACUCCUACGGGAGGCAGCAGUAGGGAAUCUUCCGCAAUGGGCGAAAGCCUGACGGAGCAACGCCGCGUGAGUGAUGAAGGUCUUCGGAUCGUAAAACUCUGUUAUUAGGGAAGAACAUAUGUGUAAGUAACUGUGCACAUCUUGACGGUACCUAAUCAGAAAGCCACGGCUAACUACGUGCCAGCAGCCGCGGUAAUACGUAGGUGGCAAGCGUUAUCCGGAAUUAUUGGGCGUAAAGCGCGCGUAGGCGGUUUUUUAAGUCUGAUGUGAAAGCCCACGGCUCAACCGUGGAGGGUCAUUGGAAACUGGAAAACUUGAGUGCAGAAGAGGAAAGUGGAAUUCCAUGUGUAGCGGUGAAAUGCGCAGAGAUAUGGAGGAACACCAGUGGCGAAGGCGACUUUCUGGUCUGUAACUGACGCUGAUGUGCGAAAGCGUGGGGAUCAAACAGGAUUAGAUACCCUGGUAGUCCACGCCGUAAACGAUGAGUGCUAAGUGUUAGGGGGUUUCCGCCCCUUAGUGCUGCAGCUAACGCAUUAAGCACUCCGCCUGGGGAGUACGACCGCAAGGUUGAAACUCAAAGGAAUUGACGGGGACCCGCACAAGCGGUGGAGCAUGUGGUUUAAUUCGAAGCAACGCGAAGAACCUUACCAAACCUUGACAUCCUUUGACAACUCUAGAGAUAGAGCCUUCCCCUUCGGGGGACAAAGUGACAGGUGGUGCAUGGUUGUCGUCAGCUCGUGUCGUGAGAUGUUGGGUUAAGUCCCGCAACGAGCGCAACCCUUAAGCUUAGUUGCCAUCAUUAAGUUGGGCACUCUAAGUUGACUGCCGGUGACAAACCGGAGGAAGGUGGGGAUGACGUCAAAUCAUCAUGCCCCUUAUGAUUUGGGCUACACACGUGCUACAAUGGACAAUACAAAGGGCAGCGAAACCGCGAGGUCAAGCAAAUCCCAUAAAGUUGUUCUCAGUUCGGAUUGUAGUCUGCAACUCGACUACAUGAAGCUGGAAUCGCUAGUAAUCGUAGAUCAGCAUGCUACGGUGAAUACGUUCCCGGGUCU
Molecule: ribosomal RNA, 1372 nt
Filed under: uncultured bacterium
Lineage: Bacteria
Description: bacterial SSU rRNA
Rfam family: Bacterial small subunit ribosomal RNA
Source: RNAcentral